This 253-nucleotide ribosomal RNA is filed under the name uncultured bacterium. RNAcentral's name for it is "partial 16S ribosomal RNA". It matches the Rfam family "Bacterial small subunit ribosomal RNA", at positions 524 to 776 of the family's 1533-position model. The record is from RNAcentral.
UACGUAGGGUGCGAGCGUUAAUCGGAAUUACUGGGCGUAAAGCGUGCGCAGGCGGUUUUGUAAGCCAGAUGUGAAAUCCCCGGGCUUAACCUGGGAAUGGCAUUUGGGACUGCAAGGCUAGAGUGUGGCAGAGGAGACUGGAAUUCCUGGUGUAGCAGUGAAAUGCGUAGAUAUCAGGAGGAAUACCGAUGGCGAAGGCAGGUCUCUGGGCUAACACUGACGCUCAUGCACGAAAGCGUGGGGAGCGAACAGG